This 72-nucleotide transfer RNA is filed under the name Streptomyces sp. NTH33. RNAcentral's name for it is "tRNA-Arg". It matches the Rfam family "tRNA", at positions 10 to 71 of the family's 71-position model. From Rfam's summary of the family: Transfer RNA (tRNA) molecules are approximately 80 nucleotides in length. Their secondary structure includes four short double-helical elements and three loops (D, anti-codon, and T loops). The record is from RNAcentral. Lineage: Bacteria; Bacillati; Actinomycetota; Actinomycetes; Kitasatosporales; Streptomycetaceae.
GGCGAGCCGAAAUAGGCCGAGCGCCUUCUAAGCGCUUGGCCGCAGGUUCGAGUCCUGCCGGGGGCGCCACCA